GUUUAUUUGCCGCCGGGUAAAUAAACCGCAUUUAUCCAUGUAUCCGCAGGCCAUAGGAGAUACAUGAAUAAGUGCUUUUUUUA
Molecule: non-coding RNA, 83 nt
Filed under: unclassified sequences
Source: RNAcentral